Molecule: transfer RNA, 69 nt
Filed under: Ictidomys tridecemlineatus (thirteen-lined ground squirrel)
Lineage: Eukaryota; Metazoa; Chordata; Mammalia; Rodentia; Sciuridae
Description: Spermophilus tridecemlineatus (thirteen-lined ground squirrel) tRNA
Rfam family: tRNA
About the family: Transfer RNA (tRNA) molecules are approximately 80 nucleotides in length. Their secondary structure includes four short double-helical elements and three loops (D, anti-codon, and T loops).
Source: Rfam by way of RNAcentral
GGAGUUGUGGCUCAGUGGUAGAGCACAUGCCUGGCAUGGGUGAGGCACUGGGUUCUAUUCUCAACACCA